This 121-nucleotide transfer RNA is filed under the name Cercospora zeae-maydis SCOH1-5. RNAcentral's name for it is "tRNA-Lys". It matches the Rfam family "tRNA". Rfam says of the family: Transfer RNA (tRNA) molecules are approximately 80 nucleotides in length. Their secondary structure includes four short double-helical elements and three loops (D, anti-codon, and T loops). The record is from RNAcentral. Lineage: Eukaryota; Fungi; Ascomycota; Dothideomycetes; Mycosphaerellales; Mycosphaerellaceae.
AGCUAGUUAAUAUAAAGGUAGUAUAUCGGCCUCUUAGCGAAAGCGGUUUCGUUUACCUUAUACGAAACUAUAUAUUACCUUUAAGCGUUAAAGGUUAUAGGUUCGAUUCCCGUACUAGCUA